GGAUGUGAGGGUCAAUUGGCUGCAACAUCUGUCACCCCACUGAUUGCCAGGGUUGAUUUGGCUCUCUCGGUGGGUGUCCCCUUCCUCCCUCACAGCUCCAUGUGAGUCCCUCCUGAAGCCACACAUUCAGUGGAAGAGGACAACCUUCCUUGAUAGAGGAAGAAAUGUUCUUAAGUUAAGGGUAUGGGAGUAGGUGCUGGAACCCCCCCCCCAAACAAACCAACAGAAACAUGUGAAGCCUCCAAAUGCCUCAUGCCUGCUUUUCUCUAUUU
Molecule: small nuclear RNA, 272 nt
Filed under: Marmota marmota marmota (Alpine marmot)
Lineage: Eukaryota; Metazoa; Chordata; Mammalia; Rodentia; Sciuridae
Description: 7SK RNA (ENSMMMG00000011142.1)
Rfam family: 7SK RNA
About the family: 7SK was discovered as an abundant small nuclear RNA in the mid-70s but a possible function has only recently been suggested. Two independent studies have found that 7SK RNA binds the CDK9/cyclin T complex (known as elongation factor P-TEFb).
Source: RNAcentral